UACAAUUAAUAAUUUAAAUAAGUUUAAUUUAUAAAUGUAAGAAUUUUAUUAUGAAAAUUAAGGAAUAAUUAUUAAGUGAAAUUUUAAUUAUUGAAAAAUUUAGAGAUUAAAGUUAAUAUUUAUUUUAUUGAAUUUUAGUAAUUAAAGUA
RNAcentral lists this ribosomal RNA (149 nucleotides) under Rhyacophila sp. MT-2021. Its description in RNAcentral is "partial 12S ribosomal RNA". Lineage: Eukaryota; Metazoa; Arthropoda; Insecta; Trichoptera; Rhyacophilidae. The record is from RNAcentral.